GAUGAACGCUGGCGGCGUGCUUAACACAUGCAAGUCGAACGAGAAAUGGAGACGGAAACCUUCGGGCGGAAGGCUUCAUUUCGAGUGGCGGACGGGUGAGUAACGCGUGGGUAACCUGCCUCAUACAGGGGGAUAACAGUUGGAAACGACUGUUAAUACCGCAUAAGACCACAGCACCGCAUGGUGCGGGGGUAAAAACUCCGGUGGUAUGAGAUGGACCCGCGUUCGAUUAGCCAGUUGGCGGGGUAACGGCCCACCAAAGCGACGAUCGAUAGCCGAUCUGAGAGGAUGACCGGCCACAUUGGGACUGAGACACGGCCCAAACUCCUACGGGAGGCAGCAGUGGGGAAUAUUGCACAAUGGGGGAAACCCUGAUGCAGCGACGCCGCGUGAGUGAAGAAGUACUUCGGUAUGUAAAGCUCUAUAAGCAGGGAAGAAAAUGACGGUACCUGAGUAAGAAGCCCCGGCUAACUACGUG
This 478-nucleotide ribosomal RNA is filed under the name uncultured bacterium. Its description in RNAcentral is "partial 16S ribosomal RNA". It matches the Rfam family "Bacterial small subunit ribosomal RNA", at positions 28 to 507 of the family's 1533-position model. The record is from RNAcentral.